Molecule: long non-coding RNA, 136 nt
Filed under: Mustela putorius furo (domestic ferret)
Lineage: Eukaryota; Metazoa; Chordata; Mammalia; Carnivora; Mustelidae
Description: lncRNA (ENSMPUG00000029334.1)
Source: RNAcentral
GCGGGAUCAGUGCAUGUGCUAAAAGGUUGAGAUAUCCAUGCCUGGAUGUUGAAAAAGUCAAGCAAAAGGGCUCCUCCUGGUCUGUGUUCCAGUAAACAUGUAUAUUUAUAGCCGACUGAAUAAGCUUGCUUCAGCU